GAUGAAGGAACGUAGCGAAAUGCGAUAAGUAAUGUGAAUUGCAGAAUUCAGUGAAUCAUCGAAUCUUUGAACGCACAUUGCGCCCGCCAGCAUUCUGGCGGGCAUGCCUGUUCGAGCGUCAUUUCAACCCUCGACUUCCCUUUGGGGAAAUCGGCGUUGGGGACUGGCAGCAUACCGCCGGCCCCGAAAUGGAGUGGCGGCCCGUCCGCGGCGACCUCUGCGUAGUAAUCCAACCUCGCACCGGAACCCCGACGUGGCCACGCCGUAAAACACCCCACUUUCUGAACGUUGACCUCGGAUCAGGUAGGAAUACCCGCUGAACUUAAGCAUAUCAAUAAGCGGAGGA
RNAcentral lists this unclassified non-coding RNA (346 nucleotides) under soil metagenome. RNAcentral describes it as "partial contains 5.8S ribosomal RNA, internal transcribed spacer 2, and large subunit ribosomal RNA". The stretch from base 1 to 121 matches the Rfam family "5.8S ribosomal RNA", at positions 35 to 154 of the family's 154-position model. The record is from RNAcentral.